UCCCCUCACUCGCCCCCGCCCCCUGGGCGGCCGUGGAGUCGAGGGGAAGGCGGGAAGGGCCUCCUGAGGAGAGCUGGCGGGCGCGAACGCGGGCUCCGCCACCCGAGCCGCUCCGUUACCGCAGCGGCGACGACGACCAGGGCCGUGUUGUUGCUGCCAACUUGUCGAAAGGACACUGAGCAUGCGCGCACGGAGACCACAUCCGGGAAAUACUUCCGUUGGGGAUCCCAUGGAAACUAAUGAUUGGGAAGCUGUAAAGUCAUUUCUUUGGUCUCAUCACCCUCCUACCUUUCACACACAGUGUCCUACCUCCUAUUCCCAUGCUACCCUACCCGCCAUCACAUCCUGGGCUCUUACCUCUUCUCCCAGAAAGCCUCUACAACUGUCGUAUUCACUGGUGUUCCCUCCUCCUGAGGUUCAGGAAGACUUUCCAAGACUAGUUUUAACGGAAUCCAUUUACACAUCUUCCACAGCUAUAUGUACUCUUUAAUAAACAUCACUCAGCUUGAGAAAUCACCUAAGGACAGAGUGUCCCCUUUCAAAACUGUCCUCCUCCCACCUGAUGGAAGAAAAGUAAAACUCUCACCCAUUACUUAAGGCGCAUCAACUCAAGAUGUUAAAACCUCCAUGGCAAUCCAAAGGGACAAUUCAGAAAUUGGCGUCUGUGAUGUGGAAGUGGAUGCCCCAAAUGAACGGGUUAUAAAUUCUUUUGCAGUUCA
This is a long non-coding RNA of Suricata suricatta (meerkat), 719 nucleotides long. RefSeq lists it as uncharacterized. The record is from RefSeq and is a predicted model, not a curated record. Lineage: Eukaryota; Metazoa; Chordata; Mammalia; Carnivora; Herpestidae. The transcript is spliced from 2 exons.